Molecule: long non-coding RNA, 324 nt
Filed under: Equus asinus (donkey)
Lineage: Eukaryota; Metazoa; Chordata; Mammalia; Perissodactyla; Equidae
Description: lncRNA (ENSEASG00005024006.1)
Source: RNAcentral
UCUUCUUCUCCACUCUACCGUUCACGUGGCUGUGGGGAUGAGCAUGUGACCCGCCUAGACCAAUCACAGUAGCCUCAUCCUUUUGGCCAAAAUGAUUGGCCAGGAAUGGGCAAGUGGCCUGCAACGCCAAUCAGAAGACUUCUGGGAGAUGUUUUCAACGCCGAGUUGGAAGAAGACGAGACACCAGAGCAAGCUUUCUCUCUCUGCGCCGUACUGCACAAAAAAGAGACCAUGUGAGGACACAGCGAGAAGGUGGUUGUCUGCAAGCCAGGAAGCAGGCCCUCACCAAGAACCAACCUGCCCGUGCCUUGAUCUUAGACUUCC